Molecule: ribosomal RNA, 467 nt
Filed under: uncultured bacterium
Lineage: Bacteria
Description: partial 16S ribosomal RNA
Rfam family: Bacterial small subunit ribosomal RNA
Source: RNAcentral
GACGAACGCUGGCGGCGUGCUUAACACAUGCAAGUCGAACGGAAAGGCCCUGCUUUUGUGGGGUGCUCGAGUGGCGAACGGGUGAGUAACACGUGAGUAACCUGCCCUUGACUUUGGGAUAACUUCAGGAAACUGGGGCUAAUACCGGAUAGGAGCUCCUGCUGCAUGGUGGGGGUUGGAAAGUUUCGGCGGUUGGGGAUGGACUCGCGGCUUAUCAGCUUGUUGGUGGGGUAGUGGCUACCAAGGCUUUGACGGGUAGCCGGCCUGAGAGGGUGACCGGCCACAUUGGGACUGAGAUACGGCCCAGACUCCUACGGGAGGCAGCAGUGGGGAAUAUUGCACAAUGGGCGGAAGCCUGAUGCAGCAACGCCGCGUGCGGGAUGACGGCCCUCGGGUUGUAAACCGCUUUCGCCUGUGACGAAGCGUGAGUGACGGUAAUGGGUAAAGAAGCACCGGCUAACUACGUG